AGAGUUUGAUCAUGGCUCAGAACGAACGCUGGGCGGCAUGCCUAACACAUGCAAGUCGAACGGGAUCCGGACUUCGGUCCGGUGAGAGUGGCGGACGGGUGAGUAACACGUGGGAACCUGCCUUUUUGGUUCGGGAUAACCGCGGGAAACUGCGGCUAAUACCGGAUGCUCCCGAGAGGGAAAAGAUUUAUCGCCAGAAGAGGGGCCCGCGUCCGAUUAGGUAGUUGGUGGGGUAAUGGCCUACCAAGCCGACGAUCGGUAGCUGGUCUGAGAGGAUGAUCAGCCACACUGGGACUGAGAUACGGCCCAGACUCCUACGGGGAGGCAGCAGGUGGGGAAUUAUUGGACAAUGGGGGCAACCCUGAUCCAGCAAUGCCGCGUGAGUGAUGAAGGCCUUAGGGUUGUAAAGCUCUUUUGCCAGGGAAGAUGAUGACUGUACCUGGAGAAUAAGCCCCGGCUAACUUCGUG
RNAcentral lists this ribosomal RNA (468 nucleotides) under uncultured bacterium. RNAcentral describes it as "bacterial SSU rRNA". It matches the Rfam family "Bacterial small subunit ribosomal RNA", at positions 8 to 507 of the family's 1533-position model. The record is from RNAcentral.